AACAUCGCGCACCUGCGGGAACCUGCGGAAGGAUCAUUACCGAGUUUACAACUCCCAAACCCCUGUGAACAUACCAAUUGUUGCCUCGGCGGAUCAGCCCGCUCCCGGUAAAACGGGACGGCCCGCCAGAGGACCCCUAAACUCUGUUUCUAUAUGUAACUUCUGAGUAAAACCAUAAAUAAAUCAAAACUUUUAGCAAUGGAUCU
This 206-nucleotide unclassified non-coding RNA is filed under the name soil metagenome. RNAcentral's name for it is "partial contains 5.8S ribosomal RNA, internal transcribed spacer 2, and large subunit ribosomal RNA". The record is from RNAcentral.